AGCUUUGUGCAGUGGCAGUAUUACAGCCAAUGAGGUUUAUCCAAGGCGCGAUUAUUGCUAAUUGAAAACAUUCACUAUAUAUUUCAACCACAUCUCAUAUAUUUUAAAAUUAUAGAUUAGAAUUAUUACU
This is a small nuclear RNA of Heterocephalus glaber (naked mole-rat), 130 nucleotides long. Its record names the gene U4. It matches the Rfam family "U4 spliceosomal RNA". Rfam says of the family: U4 small nuclear RNA (U4 snRNA) is a component of the major U2-dependent spliceosome. The structure of U4 snRNA from yeast and human has been reported. U4 snRNA presents a k-turn RNA motif in the 5p-SL related to recognition of Snu13 protein. NCBI's taxonomy places the organism in Eukaryota, Metazoa, Chordata, Mammalia, Rodentia, Bathyergidae. The record is from Ensembl.